ACGCUGGCGGCGUGCCUAACACAUGCAAGUCGAGCGGUAACAGGUGCAGCAAUACAUGCUGACGAGCGGCGAACGGGUGAGUAAUGUUUCGGAAUCUGCCCAAUGGUGGGGAAUAACCAGCCGAAAGGUUGGCUAAUACCGCAUAAGCCCUACGGGGGAAAGCGGGGGAUCGCAAGACCUCGCGCCGAUGGAUGAGCCGAAACCGGAUUAGCUAGUUGGUAGGGUAACGGCCUACCAAGGCGACGAUCCGUAGCUGGUCUGAGAGGACGACCAGCCACACUGGGACUGAGACACGGCCCAGACUCCUACGGGAGGCAGCAGUGGGGAAUAUUGGACAAUGGGGGAAACCCUGAUCCAGCGACGCCGCGUGUGUGAAGAAGGCCUGCGGGUUGUAAAGCACUUUUAGUGGGGAUGAAAAGCUCAGGGCUAAUACCGCUGAGUCUUGACCUAACCCAAAGAAAAAGCACCGGCUAACUCUGUGCCAGCAGCCGCGGUAAUACAGAGGGUG
Molecule: ribosomal RNA, 508 nt
Filed under: uncultured bacterium
Lineage: Bacteria
Description: bacterial SSU rRNA
Rfam family: Bacterial small subunit ribosomal RNA
Source: RNAcentral